Molecule: ribosomal RNA, 523 nt
Filed under: uncultured bacterium
Lineage: Bacteria
Description: partial 16S ribosomal RNA
Rfam family: Bacterial small subunit ribosomal RNA
Source: RNAcentral
GACGAACGCUGGCGGCGUGCCUAAUACAUGCAAGUCGAACGCUUUUUCUUUCACCGGAGCUUGCUCCACCGAAAGAAAAAGAGUGGCGAACGGGUGAGUAACACGUGGGUAACCUGCCCAUCAGAAGGGGAUAACACUUGGAAACAGGUGCUAAUACCGUAUAACACUAGUUUCCGCAUGGAAGAAAGUUGAAAGGCGCUUUUGCGUCACUGAUGGAUGGAGCGGCGGUGCAUUAGCUAGUUGGUGAGGUAACGGCUCACCAAGGCAACGAUGCAUAGCCGACCUGAGAGGGUGAUCGGCCACACUGGGACUGAGACACGGCCCAGACUCCUACGGGAGGCAGCAGUAGGGAAUCUUCGGCAAUGGACGAAAGUCUGACCGAGCAACGCCGCGUGAGUGAAGAAGGUUUUCGGAUCGUAAAACUCUGUUGUUAGAGAAGAACAAGGAUGAGAGUAAAAUGUUCAUCCCUUGACGGUAUCUAACCAGAAAGCCACGGCUAACUACGUGCCAGCAGCCGCAGUAA